Molecule: ribosomal RNA, 687 nt
Filed under: uncultured Chloroflexota bacterium
Lineage: Bacteria; Bacillati; Chloroflexota
Description: bacterial SSU rRNA
Rfam family: Bacterial small subunit ribosomal RNA
Source: RNAcentral
AGUGGCGAACGGGUGAGUAACACGUUGGUGACCUACCCUGGAGAGGGGGACAACCACUGGAAACGGUGGCUAAUACCCCAGAUGUCAUUGUGUUUAGAAAACAAUGACUAAAGUAAUGGACUUUGUCCAUCGCGCUUCGGGAGGGGCCUGCGGACCAUCAGCUAGUUGGUAAGGUAAUGGCUUACCAAGGCUAAGACGGGUAGGGGGCGUGAGAGCGUGGCCCCCCACACUGGUACUGAGACACGGACCAGAUACCUGCGGGUAGCAGCAGCAAGGAAUAUUGCCCAAUGGACGAAAGUCUGAGGCAGCAACACCGCGUGGAGGAUGAAGGCCCUCGGGUCGUAAACUCCUUUUCUGGGGGAAGAGAAAGGACGGUACCCCAGGAAUAAGUCUCGGCUAACUACGUGCCAGCAGCCGCGGUAAAACGUAGGAGGCGAGCGUUAUCCGGAUUUAUUGGGCGUAAAGCGCAUGUAGGCGGUUUUCUAAGUCGGACGUGAAAGCUCCUGGCUCAACUGGGAGAGGUCGUUCGAAACUAGGAAACUUGAGGAUGGUAGAGGUGAGUGGAAUUCCCGGUGUAGUGGUGAAAUGCGUAGAUAUCGGGAGGAACACCAGUGGCGAAGGCGGCUCACUGGGCCAUUCCUGACGCUCAGAUGCGAAAGCUAGGGGAGAGAACGGGAUUAGAAACCC